Molecule: ribosomal RNA, 720 nt
Filed under: uncultured bacterium
Lineage: Bacteria
Description: bacterial SSU rRNA
Rfam family: Bacterial small subunit ribosomal RNA
Source: RNAcentral
AGAACGAACGCUGGCGGCGUGCUUAACACAUGCAAGUCGAACGUGAACGGUUUCUUCGGAAACCUAGUAGAGUGGCGCACGGGUGAGUAACGCGUAGAUAACCUGUCCUUAUGUCUGGGAUACCCCACCGAAAGGUGGACUAAUACCGGAUGUUCUUGUUUUUCAUAAGUAUAAUAAGAAAAGGUGGCCUCUGAUUUAAGCUACUGCAUGAGGAGGGGUCUGCGUACCAUUAGCUUGUUGGUGGGGUAAGAGCCUACCAAGGCAUCGAUGGUUAGCGGGUCUGAGAGGAUGAUCCGUCACACUGGCACUGAAACACGGGCCAGACUCCUACGGGAGGCAGCAGUGAGGAACAUUGCGCAAUGGGGGAAACCCUGACGCAGCGACGCCGCGUGAGUGAGGAAGGCUUUCGGGUCGUAAAGCUCCGUCAAAAGGGAAGAAAUGCAUAGUGGUUAAUACCUAUUAUGUUUGACGGUACCUUUAAAGGAAGCACCGGCUAACUCCGUGCCAGCAGCCGCGGUAAUACGGAGGGUGCAAGCGUUGUUCGGAAUUACUGGGCGUAAAGGGCGCGUAGGCGGCUUGAUAAGUCAGAUGUGAAAGCCCACGGCUUAACCGUGGAAGUGCAUUUGAAACUGUCAAGCUUGAGUAUCAGAGGGGAAAGCGGAAUUCCUGGUGUAGAGGUGAAAUUCGUAGAUAUCAGGAGGAAUACCAGUGGCGAAGGCG